Molecule: small nuclear RNA, 166 nt
Filed under: Arabidopsis thaliana (thale cress)
Lineage: Eukaryota; Viridiplantae; Streptophyta; Magnoliopsida; Brassicales; Brassicaceae
Description: partial putative U2 small nuclear RNA
Rfam family: U2 spliceosomal RNA
About the family: U2 is a small nuclear RNA (snRNA) component of the spliceosome (involved in pre-mRNA splicing).
Source: RNAcentral
GAUCAAGUGUAGUAUCUGUUCUUAUCAGUUUAAUAUCUGAUAUGUGGGCCAUCGGCCCACACGAUAUUAACUCUAUUUUUUAAGGGAGGAAGCCCAUUAAGGUAGCUUGCUACCUGGGUUUCCGCGAGUCGCCCAUGCGUUGCACUACUGCACGGGCUUGGCUCAA